GAAGCAAAUACAAAGAAUUUUGAUUUGCAGUUUUGUUGAAACCUCCAUACCCUUUUUUUAAUUAAUUUAUUAUAUCUUUGUAAAACUUUGGAUAGGUUUAUUUUGCUAAAGAAAAGUCCUCCAUUGAUCACAAUCAUGCCUUUUUUGGCUAACGAGGAAGAGGAAGAAACAUGCAUGGAGAAGAGGAAACUUCAGAGGACGUGAUCCAAAUACUUUUAUACAAAAUCAUCCAAACAACAACAACAGUAAUUAUCAUGCCUCAAAUUCUAC
RNAcentral lists this long non-coding RNA (270 nucleotides) under Elaeis guineensis (African oil palm). Its description in RNAcentral is "long non-coding RNA (EGUI_LNC022772)". Lineage: Eukaryota; Viridiplantae; Streptophyta; Magnoliopsida; Arecales; Arecaceae. The record is from RNAcentral.